CGGGGGGGGCAAGCGUUGUUCGGAAUUACUGGGCGUAAAGGGCGCGUAGGCGGCCUGCUAAGUCGGACGUGAAAUCCCCCGGCUCAACCGGGGAACUGCGUCCGAUACUGGUGGGCUCGAAUCCGGGAGAGGGAUGUGGAAUUCCAGGUGUAGCGGUGAAAUGCGUAGAUAUCUGGAGGAACACCGGUGGCGAAGGCGGCAUCCUGGACCGGUAUUGACGCUGAGGCGCGAAAGCCAGGGGAGCAAACGGGAUUAGAUACCCCGGUAGUCCUGGCCCUAAACGAUGAGUGCUUGGUGUGGCGGGUAUCGAUCCCUGCCGUGCCGAAGCUAACGCAUUAAGCACUCCGCCUGGGGAGUACGGUCGCAAGGCUG
RNAcentral lists this ribosomal RNA (372 nucleotides) under uncultured organism. RNAcentral describes it as "bacterial SSU rRNA". It matches the Rfam family "Bacterial small subunit ribosomal RNA", at positions 526 to 896 of the family's 1533-position model. The record is from RNAcentral.